GAUGAACGCUAGCUACAGGCUUAACACAUGCAAGUCGAGGGGCAGCGGGAUUGAAGCUUGCUUCAAUUGCCGGCGACCGGCGCACGGGUGAGUAACGCGUAUCCAACCUUCCGUACACUCAGGGAUAGCCUUUCGAAAGAAAGAUUAAUACCUGAUGGUAUGAUGAGGUUGCAUGAUAUCAUCAUUAAAGAUUUAUCGGUGUACGAUGGGGAUGCGUUCCAUUAGGUAGUAGGCGGGGUAACGGCCCACCUAGCCAACGAUGGAUAGGGGUUCUGAGAGGAAGGUCCCCCACAUUGGAACUGAGACACGGUCCAAACUCCUACGGGAGGCAGCAGUGAGGAAUAUUGGUCAAUGGACGAGAGUCUGAACCAGCCAAGUAGCGUGAAGGAUGAAGGUCCUACGGAUUGUAAACUUCUUUUAUAAGGGAAUAAACCCUCCCACGUGUGGGAGCUUGUAUGUACCUUAUGAAUAAGCAUCGGCUAACUCCGUG
RNAcentral lists this ribosomal RNA (490 nucleotides) under uncultured bacterium. RNAcentral describes it as "partial 16S ribosomal RNA". It matches the Rfam family "Bacterial small subunit ribosomal RNA", at positions 28 to 507 of the family's 1533-position model. The record is from RNAcentral.